ACAUCCAGAGAACUUAGCAGAGAUGCUUUGGUGCCUUCGGGAACUCUGAGACAGGUGCUGCAUGGCUGUCGUCAGCUCGUGUUGUGAAAUGGUUGGGUUAAGUCCCGNAACGAGCGCAACCCUUAUCCUUUGUUGCCAGCGGCUCGGCCGGGAACUCAAAGGAGACUGCCGGUGAUAAACCGGAGGAAGGUGGGGAUGACGUCAAGUCAUCAUGGCCCUUACGGCCAGGGCUACACACGUGCUACAAUGGCGCAUACAAAGAGAAGCGACCUCGCGAGAGCAAGCGGACCUCAUAAAGUGCGUCGUAGUCCGGAUUGGAGUCUGCAACUCGACUCCAUGAAGUCGGAAUCGCUAGUAAUCGUAGAUCAGAAUGCUACGGUGAAUACGUUCCCGGGCCUUGUACACACCGCCCGUCACACCAUGGGAGUGGGUUGCAAAAGAAGUAGGUAGCUUAACCUUCGGGAGGGCGCUUACCACUUUGUGAUUCAUGACUGGGGUGAAGUCGUAACAAGGUAAGCGUACGUGU
Molecule: ribosomal RNA, 526 nt
Filed under: uncultured bacterium
Lineage: Bacteria
Description: bacterial SSU rRNA
Rfam family: Bacterial small subunit ribosomal RNA
Source: RNAcentral